RNA transcript from Monopterus albus (swamp eel), 6263 nucleotides. It is a transcript of the gene named SHOC2 leucine rich repeat scaffold protein, with no coding region annotated. The record is from RefSeq and is a predicted model, not a curated record. The transcript is spliced from 11 exons. NCBI's taxonomy places the organism in Eukaryota, Metazoa, Chordata, Actinopteri, Synbranchiformes, Synbranchidae.
ACAAGAACGGCGCCUAGAUUUCGUGUUACAGGUCGUCCAUACUUCGUCUGCAUUUCAGUGGCCGCUCUGCUAGGAUAUCGACAUCCUCCAUCGUCUGUUCUCUUCGUGUCUGCUGUGCGUUUGCGCUCAGCUGGCUGCAGCAGAGGUUUCCUCUGUCGGUCGAAUUGAAGGCUGAGGGGUCGGUCCGCGUCCGACAGCCGCUCUGCUCGGGCCUACACACACGGUUAGCUGUGCUUGAGCAAGGCUAAACGCUCAAUCUAAUCUUCGAGGGAUUAAAAAAAAAAUCAAUCAGUGACUUUUUCAGCCUGAAAGAAUUUCUAUCCAAAAGUCCUCAGAUUGUGCUCAGUUCAGACACUGAAGCGUGUGGCCACUGGAUGCCAUGAUCCAGCUACUUCAAAGGAUUUUUCCUCCUAUGGCAUUUUAAGAAAGGAACAAAGUAUCAAACGUAUCCAAAUAAACCUCUGGAUCACAAGGCCUUUAUUUCAAGGAUAGUCAUAAAUGUGUGGGCCUGCACAGGGAUGUUUUCUCUAGAAGCCUCCGUGGCUGUCUGUGUCCCCUUUUUCCUCAAAUAAAUAACCCGACAAAAGACACUCCCAUGAGCAACUCUGCAGCAGGCACGAUAACGUCGACAUGAGUAGUACUUUAGGCAAAGAAAAAGAUUCGAAAGAAAAGGACCCCAAAGGUGGUCCAGUGGGGAAAGAAAGGGAAAAGGAGGCCAAGGCUCUGGCCAGCUUAGUCAAAGAUGGUGGCAAAGAAUCGAAGACCAAAGGGAAAGAUGCCAAAGAAGGAAAGAAAGACACCAGCAGCUCAACACCGGGUGUUGCCUUCUCUGUUGACAAUACAAUAAAGCGGCCAAACCCGGCACCAGGUACCCGCAAGAAGUCCAGCAAUGCUGAGGUGAUCAAAGAACUUAACAAGUGCCGGGAGGAGAACUCAAUGAGACUGGAUUUAUCUAAACGGUCAAUUCACAUGCUGCCCACUUCCAUUAAGGAACUGACACAGCUGGCUGAACUCUACUUAUACAGCAACAAACUGCAGAGUCUGCCGGCUGAGGUGGGUUGCCUCUCAAGCCUGGUCACUUUGGCCCUGAGCGAGAACUCCCUGACCAGUUUGCCCGACUCCCUGGACUCCCUUAAGAAGCUUCGAAUGCUUGAUCUCCGGCACAACAAGCUGAGAGAAAUACCGGCUGUUGUCUACCGGCUGACAUCUCUGACCACGCUGUACCUGCGCUUCAACCGCAUAACAACGGUGGAAAAAGACAUCCGAAACCUCUCCAAGCUCACUAUGCUUAGCAUUCGGGAGAACAAGAUUAAACAGCUGCCUGCAGAGAUAGGGGAGCUAUGCAACCUCAUUACUCUGGAUGUUGCCCAUAACCAGUUGGAACACCUACCGAAGGAGAUUGGAAAUUGCACACAGAUAACCAACCUCGACUUGCAGCACAAUGAGCUCUUGGACCUCCCAGAGACUAUAGGCAAUCUGGCAAGCAUAAAUCGCUUAGGUCUGCGAUACAAUAGAUUGUCAGCCAUACCAAGAUCAUUAGCCAGAUGUCGAGAACUAGAGGAGCUAAACCUUGAAAACAACAACAUUUCAGUGUUGCCAGAGGGCCUGCUGUCAAGUUUGGUGAACCUGACAAGUCUAACACUGGCAAGGAACUGCUUCCAGUCAUACCCUGUGGGUGGACCGUCCCAGUUCUCCACCAUCUACUCUCUCAACAUGGAGCACAACCGCAUCAACAAGAUUCCCUUUGGUAUCUUCUCGAGGGCGAAAGUGUUAAGCAAGCUUAACAUGAAGGACAACCAGUUAACGUCUCUGCCGUUAGACUUCGGCACAUGGACUAGCAUGGUCGAGCUUAACCUGGCCACCAAUCAGUUGACUAAGAUCCCAGAGGAUGUCUGUGGUCUAGUCUCUUUAGAGGUGUUGAUAUUAUCCAAUAAUCUUCUCAAGAAGCUACCACAUGGUAUUGGGAAUUUGAGAAAGCUACGGGAGCUUGACUUGGAGGAAAACAAGUUGGAAUCUCUACCUAAUGAAAUUGCUUAUCUUAAAGAUUUACAAAAAUUGGUGCUGACAAAUAAUCAGCUGACUACAUUACCCAGAGGCAUUGGCCACCUCACCAACUUGACACAUCUGGGUUUGGGGGAGAACCUGCUCCAGCAUCUUCCUGAGGAGAUUGGUACACUGGAGAACCUGGAGGAACUAUACCUCAACGACAACCCCAAUCUACACAGCCUACCAUUCGAGCUGGCACUCUGCAGCAAAUUGUCCAUCAUGAGCAUUGAGAACUGUCCUCUCAGCCACCUGCCGCCCCAGAUUGUCGCAGGAGGCCCCUCCUUCAUCAUCCAGUUUCUCAAGAUGCAGGGACCAUACCGUGCCAUGGUCUGAACCAAGAGCAGUUCAGUCUCAGUUCCAUCGAACUCCAAAUCCUCCACUUGCUCUGCACCCUCUCACCUGCCCACCCCCAUUAUGUGUAUCAUACACUGUAAAGAAACAGACUGGCCACAAUCAGUGUCGGGGGCAAAUAAGAAGAGGAAGAUGUUUCUUUCACCAUCCUCGGGCAGAAACGAGGCGAACCUUCGGAGGCUUGUCUUCCGUGUUACACCAGAGUUUAUCACGGCCAUUUUAGGACCUGGCCACCCCAUGCUCAUCUGUCAUUCCGAAUGAUAUCAGAGGAAAAUAUUUCCACCUCUUUGCCAAAACUGAAGAUAUAUAAAUUUAUAUAUAUUGAUAAACUGUGAGCUAUGUGGCAAGUCUUUUAACCAUAUAAACUGUGCUCCCAUUGCCAAUGUAUUUACAGUAAUUACAAGCAUCUACUAUGUGAGCAAAGAUACAAUUGUAUGCAAAAACAAAAAAAAAGUCUUUUGAACUUUUGAACAUAUUUACUGCUGCUGCCGUAAUUUUAACUGUCAUCUUGUUGUAUUUUCUUUUGGUAUCCCCCUUUUUUUAACAUCAUCAUCCUGAAGAUAACUUAUGUUAAAUUGCUUCUUGAUUAUGGAGAACAAAGGUCUAAUAAUGACGUGUUAUUUCUUUUUUUGUAUUUUUUAUUUUUAUUUUUUUGAGGUUUUAAAAACUGUGCCUAUGUUUAGAGUGACCCAGUGGUUCAUUUCUAAACACAACUGUCCAUGCGAAUACAAAGAUAAAUUGUUUUUCUUUUUUUUUUUUUUUCUUUUUUUUUUUUUUUUCUGCUGUUACUUUAUUUUUUCCCUUUUUUGCUGUUGCAUUAAUCUAAGUGUUGGACUGCAUAGCUGUCAUCCAGUUGAUCUCUGACCAACAUAUCAAGCGUUUUUAAAAGACAUCGUCUGGGUCUCUGGAGCAAGUGGUGAGUGUAUGAGAGCAAAACGUUUGAUAAUAAAAUUUUGACAGGUAACUCCUUGACACAUUCUUUUUUUUAAUAUUCUCCUUUUUUUGUAGUUUCUUUAGACGGGGUCUCCUAAGAAUCGUCCGGUGUUUUUGAUUUCUAAUUUAAUGUUUUCUUUGUUUUGUUUUGUUGUUUUUUUUGUCCCACACUGUCCCAGCAAUGCUGCUGCUCUUGUGCACUUUGUUAAAGACUUUGGCAUCUUCUAUAUUAAGACAAAAACACCGUAGCCUCUCAUUGGUUAUUUUGAGUGGGGGCAUUUUGUUUCAUAAGUAAGGAUUUUAUCUGGUAAUCAGUUUGUCAUGUAGAUUUGUAUCACUCACAUAUAAAUGUUGGGUUUCACAGGCUCAUGAUGUACUACUAACUUUCUCUGGGGAAGUUUUAUCCUAUCAAUCUUAAAGGAACUUGCUCUCCCGAUCUAUAAAAGGGUCUGUGUAGCUGUGCAAUGGUGUAAAAUAACUCAUAUCCUGCUUGUCUCCAUUGCAAGAGAAACAGCUCACUGCAGUUCAGAUCAGCAUUGUCUUAUUUUAAAUAGAUUUAUGUUGUUUCCUUUUUUCUAAUGAUGAACUGUAUAUUCAGUUAGUAUUAUUUCAAGUGAUUGUACAUUAAAAAUCCCAACAACAGGUAAUAAAACCACCCCCCACCCCCCUUUUUCUUUUUAAUGUUUCAUCCCAACUUUAUAUCCAAUCAUGAUUCUAUUUUAUAUUGAAAUGUGUGGGUCUACUUUUUUAUGUUUUGCAGCAGCAGCUUGGCGUGUUUUGCGUGGGCUGUGGUCUGUCUCCUCCACAGCUCAUCUUGGGACAGGUUUGCGGGGAAACAAUAUGCCGCUGCUUCUAAUUUACCAGCAAAACCUGUUGCUGCUUUUCGUGGACUUAAACAUAUGCUGUACAAGACAACGGCGGGAAGGCGGGAAAUGGUCCGCUCCCAACACCGAUACAGACUUCACCCGAAAAACCUGACGAGGGACAAAUCCACUGACCUUUUUUGGUUUGGCGUCAGGUCCGGGCGUUUUCUUACUGAUCAGAUUGUUUGGACACAACGAUGAGAAAACACAAGUUUGUUCACGUGCCAUUCUGCCAGGCUGAGAAGGCCAAUGUAGUGGAAGAUGCCGAGGAUGACUGGAGGGCUAAUCAGCCAGAGAGCAUUUAUCACACCCUGGAAUGUAGUUGUAAAGUGCUGUGGAGGAAGAGGUGGAGAUAUCACCGACUGGCCUGUAUCGGUUAAAACCUGUGGUUGGAUUAAAAGUGAUGAUUGCAUACUGGUGCAUCCAAAAUAACUGGGAGUAUAAUUGGGGUUUAUCUUUGUAUUGUGUGUGAAUUUAGGCCAUCGCACAAUCAAAGUCCUUUUAUUUUGUUAUUUUUUUUUCCUGGGGUCAUGCAGCUGGUCUUUUUCUUGCCUGGACAUUUUAUACAGGUAACAAACGUAUUGAACACAUAUUUGUCUGGGUCAGAACCAGCAUUUCUGCAUAGAGGACUUUGAUUUAGUGACUACUGGUGUGUCUGCAAAUGCUCCUUUUUGUAUAUUGCAAAGGGUAUCUAAGCAUUGUGGGGCAAUGCCUAUCCUACUUAAUCUACAUUGACAAGCAGCCUUAACGGUCUUUAAGAGUCCUUUGUUUGGCUGUUCCUUGUGUCUCUGGCCACUGACUGUACCUAAUGAGAAGCAUCUGGUUAUUACGAUGUAAAUUUGGCUCUAGUUUCUUUGUCUUACUUUUCCUUUUAUUUUGCGCAGUGAUCUGGCGUUAUGGUAGACUCAGUAUUACAACAUCUAAUGUGAUGAAGGUUUUACAGAAAGGCCGAGUGCAAUUGAAGAUAAUGCCAUUAUGCUGCAAAGUGGAUGUGCAUUCGCUUGCAUCUUAGUUUGUCUUUGGCAUUAAAGGGGAAUCCCACCAAAACUGACUUUUAUUGAUUUUUAUUAUUUAGCAGUUAUCUCUCAAUAGAAAAGCUUUUGUUUUAUUAUAAUUAUUUCCAGAAGUUUUCAGUCAUGAGUUUAAAUACAGUAGUGUGAAAAUGUAGAAAUGGAUUUUUAACAUUAAAGGAUGUUUAAUUCUUUUUACCACACCCAUAUUAAGCAUCUGGAACAAGAAAUAAAUGCUGUAUUAAAAGCAGACAUGACUCAGUUUUCUUAGUUUAGUUUCAUAUGAUAGGAUAGGAUCACAUGUUCUUCAGAAUAAAUAAAUACAUGCAUGUCCACUUUUUUCUGGUUAAACCAAGCCAGUUUUGGUGGAAUAGCCUUUUAACGUGACUCCGCCUGCUCCUUCUCACUGCGUACCUGCCUGAAACCCACUCACACCCCCUCUGUACUAUCUCCAUACAUUUACUUGACUGCCUUGUGUGCACUAAGCAAAACCUUUAUUAUCUACUGGUUUCAUCAACAGAGACAAAUAAUUGUUUUUUUUCCAGUUUUGGUUAAUGUCAGUGAAGGGACCUGGGUCCAUGAAUCGAACAGAUGCUGAAAGCAAAGGUUUUGGGUCAGUUGAAUCUUCACUGGACGAGCAGAUGCAGAAGUGACUACCUCUAUGUGAGUCUUUCAUUGCUAACCACAGUGACCGAGAACCAGUCUGAGGGGUUUCUACCUGUACAAAGCUGUGUGUGGGCAGCAGGAACUUAGAUUUGGACCAGCAAUUAAUCAGUUUUGCUUAGUAUCAUUCUAUUGUUUUAUUUUGGUUAUAUUCCUUUACUAAGUUUUAUUUGGCAAAUGAAAAAGGAAAAAAAAAAAAUCUCUGAGUUGUGUGCUUGGUUGUAAAUGACAAACUUGGUCAAUGCCGCCCCAUUGUAAAACAGUUAUUCUGAAACUGGCUAACUGCAGAGAGCUACUUUACAAAUGAGUGAAAAUGACCCAGUUUGGUGAUAUUCUGUACAUACAUCUUUUUAACUGUAAUAAAUGAUAAAAAUUUACAAAUGUAUGUGUUGCAUGU